Molecule: ribosomal RNA, 472 nt
Filed under: uncultured bacterium
Lineage: Bacteria
Description: partial 16S ribosomal RNA
Rfam family: Bacterial small subunit ribosomal RNA
Source: RNAcentral
GACGAACGCUGGCGGCGUGCUUAACACAUGCAAGUCGAACGAUGAACCCGGAGCUUGCUCUGGGGGAUUAGUGGCGAACGGGUGAGUAACACGUGAGUAACCUGCCCUGGACUCUGGGAUAAGCGUUGGAAACGACGUCUAAUACCGGAUAGGACCUUGGAUCGCAUGAUCUGGGGUGGAAAGUUUUUUCGGUCUGGGAUGGACUCGCGGCCUAUCAGCUUGUUGGUGAGGUAAUGGCUCACCAAGGCGUCGACGGGUAGCCGGCCUGGGAGGGUGACCGGCCACACUGGGACGGAGACACGGCCCAGACUCCGACGGGAGGCAGCAGUGGGGAAUAUGGCACAAUGGGCGAAAGCCUGAUGCAGCAACGCCGCGUGCGGGAUGACGGCCUUCGGGUUGUAAACCGCUUUUAGUAGGGAAGAAGGGCUUCGGCUUGACGGUACCUGCAGAAAAAGGACCGGCUAACUACGUG